Molecule: ribosomal RNA, 499 nt
Filed under: uncultured bacterium
Lineage: Bacteria
Description: partial 16S ribosomal RNA
Rfam family: Bacterial small subunit ribosomal RNA
Source: RNAcentral
GACGAACGCUGGCGGCGUGCUUAACACAUGCAAGUCGAACGGGCCUGUCUUCUUUUUUGGGGGUGGGUUGAGUGGCGAACGGGUGAGUAUCACGUGAGUAACCUGCCCUUCGGUCCUGGAUAACCGCUUGAAAGGGCGGCUAAUACGGGGUGGUCCGGUUGGUCCGCAUGGGCUGGUCGGGAUAGAUUCACUGUUUUUGGUGUUUCGGCGGGGGAUGGGCUCGCGGCCUAUCAGCUUGUUGGUGGGGUGAUGGCCUACCAAGGCGGUGACGGGUAGCCGGCCUGAGAGGGUGGGCGGCCACACUGGGACUGAGAUACGGCCCAGACUCCUGCGGGAGGCAGCAGUGGGGGGGAUUGCACAAUGGGCGGAAGCCUGAUGCAGCGACGUCGCGUGAGGGAUGGAGGCCUUCGGGUUGUGAACCUCUGUUUCCGGUGGUGAAGGCCCUGUCCGUGUGGUGGGGUUGACGGUAGCCGGGGAUGAAGCGCCGGCUAACUACGUG